UGAGUGCGAGCGGCUACGGCCGCGAAGUGGGUGAUGUCAAGCUUCCAAGAAAAGCCCUAUACCCGUUAAGGCAUGAUGGCCUGUACCCGAAACCGACACAGGUGGGGUGGUAGAGAAUACCGAGGGGCGCGAGGUAACUCUCUCUAAGGAACUCGGCAAAAUGGCCCCGUAACUUCGGGAGAAGGGGUGCCACCGCAAGGUGGUCGCAGUGAAGAGGCCCAGGCGACUGUUUACCAAAAACACAGGUCUCCGCUAAGUCGCAAGACGAUGUAUGGGGGCUGACGCCUGCCCAGUGCCGGAAGGUUAAGGAAGCUGGUCAGCGCAAGCGAAGCUGGCGACUGAAGCCCCGGUGAACGGCGGCCGUAACAAUAACGGUCCUAAAGUAGCGAAAUUCCUUGUCGGGUAAGUUCCGACCCGCACGAAAGGCGUAACGAUCUGGGCGCUGUCUCGGAGAGAGGCUCGGCGAAAUAGAAUUGUCUGUGAAGAUGCGGACUACGUGCACCCGGACAGAAAGACCCUAUGAAGCUUUACUGUAGCUUGGUAUUGUGCCCGGGCUCUGAAUGCGCAGGAUAGGUGGGAGGCUUUGAUCCAUGGCUUGCGGGUCAUGGUGAGCCAACGGUGAGAUACCACUCUUUCAGAGUUAGGGUUCUAACGGUCACCCGUCAUCCGGGGACCGGACAGUAUCAGGUGGGCAGUUUGACUGGGGCGGUCGCCUCCUAAAAGGUAACGGAGGCGCGCAAAGGUUUGCUCAGGCUGGUUGGAAAUCAGCCGACGAGUGCAAAAGCAGAAGCAAGCUUGACUGUGAGACCUACAAGUCGAACAGGGACGAAAGUCGGCUUUAGUGAUCCGACGGUUCUGAGUGGAAGGGCCGUCGCUCAACGGAUAAAAGUUACUCUAGGAUAACAGGCUGAUCUCCCCCAAGAGUUCACAUCGACGGGGAGGUUUGGCACCUCGAUGUCGGCUCAUCGCAACCUGGGGCUGAAGUCGGUCCCAAGGGUUGGGCUGUUCGCCCAUUAAAGCGGUACGCGAGCUGGGUUCAGAACGUCGUGAGACAGUUCGGUCCAUAUCCGGUGCACGCGCAGGAACAUUGAGAGGAUUUCUCCCUAGUACGAGAGGACCGGGAGGAACGCACCUCUGGUGUGCCAGUUAUCGUGCCAACGGUAAACGCUGGGUAGCCAUGUGCGGAGUGGAUAACCGCUGAAAGCAUCUAAGUGGGAAGCCCACCUCAAGAUGAGUGUUCCCAUGGCAUAAGCCAGUAAGGUCACGGGAAGAACACCCGUUGAUAGGCUCUACGUGGAAGCCGGGUAACCGGUGAAGCGGAGGAGUACUAAUAGACCGAGGGCUUGAC
Molecule: ribosomal RNA, 1348 nt
Filed under: metagenome
Description: bacterial LSU rRNA
Rfam family: Bacterial large subunit ribosomal RNA
Source: RNAcentral